GGAGUAACCCCGAGUCGGCUUACCUGGCUCGGGCGGCACAUGAGGCCAGGCGAGGAGGGAGGGCAGCAAGGCGGACCGGGAAGAGAAGCGCCAUGGCGGCGGCUGCGGCGGAGGAGUGCGGUGGCUUCUGGCUGAGAUGCCAGAAUUCCCUGGAAAUCCAUGAAGCGGAAGAUCCUGCCGCAGGCGAAAGGCGGCCUUGUUGCCGUUGCUCUUCUUCUCACCUGUCCUAAUGGAACCGGCCAGAAGCAACGGAGCCGUUCCCACCUGGCAGAUGUCCUCUGUCAGAUCCGGUUUUGCGCCUUGUCUGCAGGAUUUCUGCUCAAAGACAUUGCAGUGAGGCCGGGCAGAGGAGCGGGAGAUAUUUCCGCCUUUAAAUCAAGAGGAAAUGUCAGCUGGACUCUCCAAAAGUGGCACUCAUUAGACUCUCCCGCUUCUUGUGCCGGAUUCCUCUUUCUCCACUGUCCUCAUUUCUGCACUUUAACUUUUACACCCAUGGCACAAAUAUAUUUUAAAUUAUAUUAAUAUG
Molecule: long non-coding RNA, 526 nt
Organism: Anolis carolinensis (green anole)
Lineage: Eukaryota; Metazoa; Chordata; Lepidosauria; Squamata; Anolidae
Exons: 2
Source: RefSeq, a predicted model, not a curated record